UUGUAAGUGUCUAAGG
Molecule: ribosomal RNA, 16 nt
Filed under: Mycobacterium tuberculosis variant africanum
Lineage: Bacteria; Bacillati; Actinomycetota; Actinomycetes; Mycobacteriales; Mycobacteriaceae
Description: partial 23S ribosomal RNA
Source: RNAcentral